This 238-nucleotide ribosomal RNA is filed under the name Acinetobacter baumannii. Its description in RNAcentral is "partial 16S ribosomal RNA". It matches the Rfam family "Bacterial small subunit ribosomal RNA", at positions 512 to 749 of the family's 1533-position model. The record is from RNAcentral. Lineage: Bacteria; Pseudomonadati; Pseudomonadota; Gammaproteobacteria; Moraxellales; Moraxellaceae.
CAGCCGCGGUAAUACGUAGGGGGCAAGCGUUGUCCGGAUUUACUGGGUGUAAAGGGCGCGUAGGCGGGCUGGCAAGUCAGAUGUGAAAUCCCGGGGCUCAACCCCGGGACUGCAUUUGAAACUGUCGGUCUUGAGUGUGGGAGAGGUAAGCGGAAUUCCUAGUGUAGCGGUGAAAUGCGUAGAUAUUAGGAGGAACACCAGUGGCGAAGGCGGCUUACUGGACGAUAACUGACGCUGA